GGCCCAGAGGGGCGGGGGGGGAAGGGGUGGGACAGUGAAUGAAAGUCUGAAAAAGGGCUAUGACGUUAGCGGCGGACGAGUGAGUAACACGCGCAGCUGCCUGUAAGACUGGGAUAACUUCGGGAAACCGAAGCUAAUACCGGAUAGGAUCUUCUCCUUCAUGGGAGAUGAUUGAAAGAUGGUUUCGGCUAUCACUUACAGAUGGGCCCGCGGUGCAUUAGCUAGUUGGUGAGGUAACGGCUCACCAAGGCAACGAUGCAUAGCCGACCUGAGAGGGUGAUCGGCCACACUGGGACUGAGACACGGCCCAGACUCCUACGGGAGGCAGCAGUAGGGAAUCUUCCGCAAUGGACGAAAGUCUGACGGAGCAACGCCGCGUGAGUGAUGAAGGCUUUCGGGUCGUAAAACUCUGUUGUUAGGGAAGAACAAGUACAAGAGUAACUGCUUGUACCUUGACGGUACCUAACCAGAAAGCCACGGCUAACUACGUGCCAGCAGCCGCGGUAAUACGUAGGUGGCAAGCGUUAUCCGGAAUUAUUGGGCGUAAAGCGCGCGCAGGCGGUUUCUUAAGUCUGAUGUGAAAGCCCACGGCUCAACCGUGGAGGGUCAUUGGAAACUGGGGAACUUGAGUGCAGAAGAGAAAAGCGGAAUUCCACGUGUAGCGGUGAAAUGCGUAGAGAUGUGGAGGAACACCAGUGGCGAAGGCGGCUUUUUGGUCUGUAACUGACGCUGAGGCGCGAAAGC
This 744-nucleotide ribosomal RNA is filed under the name bacterium. RNAcentral's name for it is "bacterial SSU rRNA". It matches the Rfam family "Bacterial small subunit ribosomal RNA", at positions 1 to 760 of the family's 1533-position model. The record is from RNAcentral.